UUUGUCCCCUCUGACUUAUUCUUAAUUCUGCUCUAAAGAACAAUCUCAUACUUCAACCUGAUUCAACCCUUUUGAUUUGAACCUACAUGAAACUGACCCCAGUUCUGUGAUAUAAACUUCCUCUUUUAAAGCGAUCUAAAUUUUAAUCUUCCAUAAAAAUUCAUGUAAAUUUAUUUCAAGCACCAGCUUAAUAAUUUUUUAAUUUUUAAUUUUGACUCAAGGCCAGUAAUUUUGAGGGGAGGGGGUAACUCAAAUCAUAUUGACGCCAGUAUUUAACUGAUACUUUAUUUUAUCAACCCAGAAAGGAUAACAGAGAAACUCAACCUUAGCAGAUUUGAACUCAGAACUGUAAGAUAAGAAAUAUUGUUAAGCAUUUUGCCUGGUGUGUUUAUAAUUCUGUCAGUUCACACAAGCUUAACAAAUUAUUUCUUCAUUAAUUAUUUAAUUAUUUCUAAAUUAUUUCUUCAUUAUUUUGAAAAUUAUUUGCAAUAAAGACAGUGUAUUUCUACAGAUAUAUCUUUUACUUGUUUUAGUCAUUUGACUGUGA
This is a long non-coding RNA of Octopus sinensis (East Asian common octopus), 547 nucleotides long. RefSeq lists it as uncharacterized. The record is from RefSeq and is a predicted model, not a curated record. Lineage: Eukaryota; Metazoa; Mollusca; Cephalopoda; Octopoda; Octopodidae. The transcript is spliced from 3 exons.